This 256-nucleotide ribosomal RNA is filed under the name uncultured bacterium. Its description in RNAcentral is "partial 16S ribosomal RNA". It matches the Rfam family "Bacterial small subunit ribosomal RNA", at positions 521 to 776 of the family's 1533-position model. The record is from RNAcentral.
UAAUACGGAGGGUGCAAGCGUUGCUCGGAAUUAUUGGGCGUAAAGGGUAGGUAGGUGGUCUCAUUUGUCUGGGGUGAAAGCCUUGAGCUUAACUCAAGAAGUGCCCCAGAAACGGUGAGACUGGAGUCCUGGAGAGGGUCGUGGAAUUCCCGGUGUAGCGGUGAAAUGCGUAGAGAUCGGGAGGAACACCAGAGGCGAAAGCGGCGACCUGGACAGGCACUGACACUCAACUACGAAAGCGUGGGGAGCAAACAGG